Bombyx mori (domestic silkworm) is the source of this 1880-nucleotide long non-coding RNA. RefSeq lists it as uncharacterized. The record is from RefSeq and is a predicted model, not a curated record. The transcript has 2 exons. NCBI's taxonomy places the organism in Eukaryota, Metazoa, Arthropoda, Insecta, Lepidoptera, Bombycidae.
CGAUGCACAGAGAUUCACAAACAUAGAUUGUUUGAAUAACUUACUGGAGAUAGGACCUCUUGUGAGUCCGUGCGGGUAGGUACCACCACCCUGCCUAUUUCUGCCGUGAAGCAGUAAUGCGUUUCGGUCGGAAGGGCAGGGCAGCCGUUGUAACUAUACUGAGAUCUUAGAACUUAUAUCUCAAGUUGGAUAGCGCAUUUACGUUAUAGAUGUCUAUGGACUCCAGUAACCAGUUAAUACCAAAAAAAUAUAUACUUGUAAAGCCUAGUAUCAAGGGCAAGUUAUUAUGGAAUAACAAAAUGGUUAGGCCACUUAUCAAAUAGACAUACAUUUUUGUAUUGCCAACUUUACUUUAUUUGGUUUGAAAACACUCUACUCUUUCUGGUGAUAGGGCGUCUUCUGAGCCCGCACGGUUAGGUACCACCACCACCCAGCUUAUUUCUGCCGUGAGCUUAUGUCUUAUUUAUUUUAUUUAUUUAUUUAUUUAUGUACACACAGAAAACAAGACACAGUACAGAGUAAUAGGAAAAUUAUGUACAAAGGCACUGCUUAUUUCUUUGAGAAAUCUCUUCCAGCAGACCUGCGAGAGGAUAAUGAGAAUAAUAAUAAAAAGUGAUAAGUGUGUGUAGAACACAUAACUAAAAUAACAAAUACAACAUGAGAAUUAUAGCACAUACACAUAGCAAAUAUUAUAAGUAACACAGUAACACUCGUAUAUGCGAAGAGUAUAGAACCAUGAUCAUUCGGUUGAUGAUAGAUAAAAUUGUUUGACCUUGUAUUUAAAAACGGAAACAGACUUGCAAACUCGGAUGUCAGCCGGCAACGAAUUCCACAGUCUGACCGCGUGCACAGUAAAGGAGUGAGAAUAGAAAUUGGUUUUGUGGGAAGGGAAUAACAAAACAGAACGUUGGUUGGACCUGCAGGGAGCAUCAGGAGAACGAAUGAAAGAGAAUCGCUCACGUAAAUAUAAGGGAGAAGUGGGCUUAUGUAGGAUAUUGAAUAGGAGACAUAAUAUUCGAGUAUUCCUACGAAGGCGUAUAGGGAGCCAUUUAAGUUCUUUGCGAAAAUGAGAAACAUGAUCGAAUUUUCUGAGAUUGUAUAUAAAACGGAUACAUAGAUUUUGCAUCCUCUCAAGCUUGUUUGAGAGCUCCUCAGUGGCAUCCAAGUAGCAGGCAUCGGCGUAAUCAAUUAUGGGUAGAAUGAGAGCUUGGACGAGAGAUAUUUUUGUAUGCUGAGGUAAGAAGCCCUGCAGACAUCUCAACGAGUGCAAGGCAAAGUGCACCUUCCUACUAAUCUCAGCAACGUGAGAACUCCACGAAAGAUGUCGAUCUACAAUAACACCCAGGUUUUUAACUGAAUCGGUUAGAGUUAUUUGAGUCCCAUCCAAAUAAAUUGGGGGGAGUAUAGGAUCGCUGAGUCUACUGCGCAAUUGUUUACCCCCUAUAAUGAUAGCCUGUGAUUUUCCCGGAUUAAUGUGCAGACCGUAGGCUUUUGCCCAUUCACUGAUAGACUUCAGAUCACUGUUCAUCGCAGCAAUAGCCGAUUCAACUUCAGGCUCCGAGAAGUGGCGAUAUAGCUGGAGAUCGUCUGCGUAGAGGUGGAAUUUAGAAGAUAUAAGCCUAGUGACAGAGUUUAUAAACACAGAAAACAGAAGAGGAGAAAGAACACCACCUUGGGGAACGCCCGCACUGACGUUCUGCCAAUCUGAGAAAGUCUCGUCAAGACGGACACAUUGCGAGCGCCCCCGAAGCGAAUGUCAUCGGUCACUUUUAGAAGAGCUGUAACCGUGCUGUGGCCCUUGCGAAAACCAGAUUGGAAGGAGCUAAGAAGAUUGUGGGAGAGGAGAAAAGACGACAGCUGACGGUGGACAAUGUGCUCAA